Molecule: ribosomal RNA, 506 nt
Filed under: uncultured bacterium
Lineage: Bacteria
Description: partial 16S ribosomal RNA
Rfam family: Bacterial small subunit ribosomal RNA
Source: RNAcentral
GACGAACGCUGGCGGCGUGCUUAACACAUGCAAGUCGAACGGUGAAGGGACUGGUUUUGCUGGUCCUGGAUGAGUGGCGAACGGGUGAGUAACACGUGAGUAACCUGCCCCCUUCUUCUGGAUAACCGCAUGAAAGUGUGGCUAAUACGGGAUAUUCUGGGUCUGUCGCAUGGUGGGCCUGGGAAAGAUUGCGCCUUUUUUGGUGUUUUUGGUGGGGGAUGGGCUCGCGGCCUAUCAGCUUGUUGGUGGGGUGAUGGCCUACCAAGGCGGUGACGGGUAGCGGGCCUGAGAGGGUGGACGGUCACACUGGGACUGAGACACGGCCCAGACUCCUACGGGAGGCAGCAGUGGGGAAUAUUGCACAAUGGGCGCAAGCCUGAUGCAGCGACGCCGCGUGAGGGAUGGAGGCCUUCGGGUUGUGAACCUCUUUCGCCAGUGAAGCAGGCCUGCCUCUUUUUGUGGGUGGGUUGACGGUAGCUGGAUAAGAAGCGCCGGCUAACUACGUG